Non-coding RNA from Steinernema glaseri, 71 nucleotides. NCBI's taxonomy places the organism in Eukaryota, Metazoa, Nematoda, Chromadorea, Rhabditida, Steinernematidae. The record is from Rfam.
GGGGGUAUAGCUCAGGGGUAGAGCGCUCGCUAGCAUGCGAGAGGGCUGGGGUUCGAUUCCCCAUACCUCCA